RNAcentral lists this ribosomal RNA (229 nucleotides) under uncultured Lactobacillus sp. RNAcentral's name for it is "partial 16S ribosomal RNA". It matches the Rfam family "Bacterial small subunit ribosomal RNA", at positions 134 to 355 of the family's 1533-position model. The record is from RNAcentral. Lineage: Bacteria; Bacillati; Bacillota; Bacilli; Lactobacillales; Lactobacillaceae.
UAGUCUGGGAUACCACUUGGAAACAGGUGCUAAUACCGGAUAAGAAAGCGGAUCGCAUGAUCAGCUUUUAAAAGGCGGCGUAAGCUGUCGCUAUGGGAUGGCCCCGCGGUGCAUUAGCUAGCUGGUAAGGUAAAGGCUUACCAAGGCGAUGAUGCAUAGCCGAGUUGAGAGACUGAUCGGCCACAUUGGGACUGAGACACGGCCCAAACUCCUACGGGAGGCAGCAGCA